Molecule: long non-coding RNA, 409 nt
Filed under: Homo sapiens (human)
Lineage: Eukaryota; Metazoa; Chordata; Mammalia; Primates; Hominidae
Description: HSALNT0015687
Source: RNAcentral
ACUGGUAGCCUGGCUGUGCUUCAUUUUGGAGGGUAUAUAGAGAGCCAGGAGGAAGGAGUGAACUCUGGCUCGUUCUCUUGUAUAAAAAAGCACCAGUGUCCUGGACUGGACACCCACUGCUAUAAAAGAUGCAGGGGGGCCCAGGGCCUGAUCGUCACCGACUGAUAUCCCGACUGGAGUCCCACAACUUGUUGGGCGGCUCAGCCCGAAGGCGGGCGAAGAAAGGAUGCUGAAGGGCUUCACCCAAGGUCAGCCGCUUAGCUGGUUCAUACUCUAGCAUGCUUUCAAUCAGAUCGAAGAGCUGGUGGUGUUCCUCUGCCUCUGAGGUCAGAUACCGCUGGUGGAGGAGGGCAGGAAAAAGGUGAGGCAGGAUGCCUUACAAACCCUGCCUUCUUCAAGACCCUACCUU